RNAcentral lists this ribosomal RNA (430 nucleotides) under uncultured bacterium. Its description in RNAcentral is "bacterial SSU rRNA". It matches the Rfam family "Bacterial small subunit ribosomal RNA", at positions 90 to 518 of the family's 1533-position model. The record is from RNAcentral.
GACGACCGGCGCACGGGUGAGUAACACGUAUCCAACCUCCCAUAACUCAGGGAUAGCCUUUCGAAAGAAAGAUUAAUACCUGAUAGUACUUUUUCAAGGCAUCUUGAGAAAGUUAAAGAUUUAUUGGUUAUGGAUGGGGAUGCGUUCCAUUAGAUAGUUGGUGAGGUAACGGCUCACCAAGUCUUCGAUGGAUAGGGGUUCUGAGAGGAAGGUCCCCCACAUUGGUACUGAGACACGGACCAAACUCCUACGGGAGGCAGCAGUGAGGAAUAUUGGUCAAUGGGCGAGAGCCUGAACCAGCCAAGUAGCGUGAAGGAAUGAAGGUCCUAUGGAUUGUAAACUUCUUUUAUAGUAGAAUAAAGUGAUCCACGUGUGGAUUUUUGUAUGUAUACUAUGAAUAAGGAUCGGCUAACUCCGUGCCAGCCGCCGC